AGAGGACGAGAAUUCCAAGAUGGCGCAUAUGGGUCUUGAAAAGUAUUUAGAUCAGGUGAAAAAAGGACUUGUUUCCAAAAGUGGCGACAUUUUAGCGGAACUAUUUUCCUUUCGUCAUCCACACAUAGCAAGUCCAAGACUUCAGGUAAAACCAUUACAGAUUACUUACUUUGGGGAUAAUUUGUAUAAGUAUACAAUAGAAUAAU
Long non-coding RNA from Pocillopora damicornis (cauliflower coral), 206 nucleotides. The record is from RefSeq and is a predicted model, not a curated record. Lineage: Eukaryota; Metazoa; Cnidaria; Anthozoa; Scleractinia; Pocilloporidae.